CCUACGGGAGGCUGCAGUGGGGAAUAUUGGACAAUGGGCGAAAGCCUGAUCCAGCCAUGCCGCGUGUGUGAAGAAGGCCUUCGGGUUGUAAAGCACUUUCAGUGGGGAAGAAAGCCUUGGGGCUAAUACCCUCGAGGAAGGACAUCACCCACAGAAGAAGCACCGGCUAACUCCGUGCCAGCAGCCGCGGUAAUACGGAGGGUGCGAGCGUUAAUCGGAAUUACUGGGCGUAAAGCGCGCGUAGGCGGUCUGAUAAGCCGGUUGUGAAAGCCCCGGGCUCAACCUGGGAACGGCAUCCGGAACUGUCAGGCUAGAGUGCAGGAGAGGAAGGUAGAAUUCCUGGUGUAGCGGUGAAAUGCGUAGAGAUCGGGAGGAAUACCAGUGGCGAAGGCGGCCUUCUGGACUGACACUGACGCUGAGGUGCGAAAGCGUGGGUAGCAAACAGGAUUAGAUACCCCAGUAGUC
Molecule: ribosomal RNA, 465 nt
Filed under: Vreelandella stevensii
Lineage: Bacteria; Pseudomonadati; Pseudomonadota; Gammaproteobacteria; Oceanospirillales; Halomonadaceae
Description: partial 16S ribosomal RNA
Rfam family: Bacterial small subunit ribosomal RNA
Source: RNAcentral